UGACUGCGUACCUUUUGUAUAAUGGGUCAGCGACUUAUAUUCUGUAGCAAGGUUAACCGAAUAGGGGAGCCGGAGGGAAACCGAGUCUUAAUUGGGCGUUAAGUUGCAGGGUAUAGACCCGAAACCCGGUGAUCUAGCCAUGGGCAGGUUGAAGGUUGGGUAACACUAACUGGAGGACCGAACCGACUAAUGUUGAAAAAUUAGCGGAUGACCUGUGGCUGGGGGUGAAAGGCCAAUCAAACCGGGAGAUAGCUGGUUCUCCCCGAAAGCUAUUUAGGUAGCGCCUCGUGAAUUCAUCUCCGGGGGUAGAGCACUGUUUCGGCUAGGGGGCCAUCCCGGCUUACCAACCCGAUGCAAACUGCGAAUACCGGAGAAUGUUAUCACGGGAGACACACGGCGGGUGCUAACGUCCGUCGUGAAGAGGGAAACAACCCAGACCGCCAGCUAAGGUCCCAAAGUCAUGGUUAAGUGGGAAACGAUGUGGGAAGGCCCAGACAGCCAGGAUGUUGGCUUAGAAGCAGCCAUCAUUUAAAGAAAGCGUAAUAGCUCACUGGUCGAGUCGGCCUGCGCGGAAGAUGUAACGGGGCUAAACCAUGCACCGAAGCUGCGGCAGCGACAUUCAGGUGUUGUUGGGUAGGGGAGCGUUCUGUAAGCCUGUGAAGGUGGCCUGUGAGGGUUGCUGGAGGUAUCAGAAGUGCGAAUGCUGACAUAAGUAACGAUAAAGCGGGUGAAAAGCCCGCUCGCCGGAAGACCAAGGGUUCCUGUCCAACGUUAAUCGGGGCAGGGUGAGUCGACCCCUAAGGCGAGGCCGAAAGGCGUAGUCGAUGGGAAACGGGUUAAUAUUCCCGUACUUGGUGUUACUGCGAAGGGGGGACGGAGAAGGCUAUGUUGGCCGGGCGACGGUUGUCCCGGUUUAAGCGUGUAGGUGUGUGUUCCAGGUAAAUCCGGUUCACUUUAACACUGAGGCGUGAUGACGAGGCACUACGGUGCUGAAGCAACAAAUGCCCUGCUUCCAGGAAAAGCCUCUAAGCAUCAGGUAACAUCAAAUCGUACCCCAAACCGACACAGGUGGUCAGGUAGAGAAUACCAAGGCGCUUGAGAGAACUCGGGUGAAGGAACUAGGCAAAAUGGUGCCGUAACUUCGGGAGAAGGCACGCUGACACGUAGGUGAAGUGAUUUACUCAUGGAGCUGAAGUCAGUCGAAGAUACCAGCUGGCUGCAACUGUUUAUUAAAAACACAGCACUGUGCAAACACGAAAGUGGACGUAUACGGUGUGACGCCUGCCCGGUGCCGGAAGGUUAAUUGAUGGGGUCAGCGCAAGCGAAGCUCCUGAUCGAAGCCCCGGUAAACGGCGGCCGUAACUAUAACGGUCCUAAGGUAGCGAAAUUCCUUGUCGGGUAAGUUCCGACCUGCACGAAUGGCGUAAUGAUGGCCAGGCUGUCUCCACCCGAGACUCAGUGAAAUUGAACUCGCUGUGAAGAUGCAGUGUACCCGCGGCAAGACGGAAAGACCCCGUGAACCUUUACUAUAGCUUGACACUGAACAUUGAGCCUUGAUGUGUAGGAUAGGUGGGAGGCUUUGAAGCGUGGACGCCAGUCUGCGUGGAGCCGACCUUGAAAUACCACCCUUUAAUGUUUGAUGUUCUAACGUGGACCCGUAAUCCGGGUUGCGGACAGUGUCUGGUGGGUAGUUUGACUGGGGCGGUCUCCUCCUAAAGAGUAACGGAGGAGCACGAAGGUUGGCUAAUCCUGGUCGGACAUCAGGAGGUUAGUGCAAUGGCAUAAGCCAGCUUGACUGCGAGCGUGACGGCGCGAGCAGGUGCGAAAGCAGGUCAUAGUGAUCCGGUGGUUCUGAAUGGAAGGGCCAUCGCUCAACGGAUAAAAGGUACUCCGGGGAUAACAGGCUGAUACCGCCCAAGAGUUCAUAUCGACGGCGGUGUUUGGCACCUCGAUGUCGGCUCAUCACAUCCUGGGGCUGAAGUAGGUCCCAAGGGUAUGGCUGUUCGCCAUUUAAAGUGGUACGCGAGCUGGGUUUAGAACGUCGUGAGACAGUUCGGUCCCUAUCUGCCGUGGGCGCUGGAGAACUGAGGGGGGCUGCUCCUAGUACGAGAGGACCGGAGUGGACGCAUCACUGGUGUUCGGGUUGUCAUGCCAAUGGCACUGCCCGGUAGCUAAAUGCGGAAGAGAUAAGUGCUGAAAGCAUCUAAGCACGAAACUUGCCCCGAGAUGAGUUCU
Molecule: ribosomal RNA, 2235 nt
Filed under: Salmonella enterica subsp. enterica serovar Onireke
Lineage: Bacteria; Pseudomonadati; Pseudomonadota; Gammaproteobacteria; Enterobacterales; Enterobacteriaceae
Description: bacterial LSU rRNA
Rfam family: Bacterial large subunit ribosomal RNA
Source: RNAcentral